Long non-coding RNA from Leopardus geoffroyi (Geoffroy's cat), 1111 nucleotides. RefSeq lists it as uncharacterized. The transcript has 3 exons. Lineage: Eukaryota; Metazoa; Chordata; Mammalia; Carnivora; Felidae. The record is from RefSeq and is a predicted model, not a curated record.
UCAGGGUUUUUAACAGCAGUUCUGGAAGUUAGAAAAUAAUGGUGCAAUGCCUUUAAAAUUCUGAGGGAAAGUGAGUUUAGAAUUCUGUAACUAGCCAAACUAUCAGGUACUGUAAGGACAUUUCCAGGAUGCAUGUUCUCAGAAAGUUUACCUCUUAGGUAGCUGUCAAGAAGUGACACUUCUACUAAAAUGAGAUUGUAAAUGGAGAAAGAGGGAAGAUAUGGAUCCAGGAAACAGGAGACCAACCUAGAUGGGAGGCAGUGAAGCAUGGUGAAGGGGGUUUCCGAUUACCUAUGUCUCAGAAACAUGGUGUGCUGUUUGUCACUAUAUCACAUCUCAGCUCUAUACCCACCCGUCUUUGCCCUCCUUUGUGAUAGUGGAGCUGGACUCUGAUUUCUUUUGCUGAUGUCACAAUGUCAAACCUCGUCAGUAAGAGGCACUGGUGGACACUGAAAGAGGAAGGGGCGUCUCUUGGGUUUCAGGAUUUGGUUUCCUCGUGUUCAUGUGCCCUUUACUGGACUGGCAUCCCAACAAGAGGCCGCCUGGCCUACCUCGUCUCCAGUUCUGGUGGUGAGGAUGGGCCGUGCGGCAGGCCUCGAUGUCUGGCACAUGUCUGAUGAUGUUGACCAGAAGCUUCUCCAUCCUACUGAAUUAAAUGUCUGAGACCGUCAUGUGGUCAAGCUUUCAGCUAAUACACAACAAAGAACUGCAGGCCACGCACUGACCCUGUGUAAUGAAAGGCUGAUGGAAACACAUUCUGGGAACUGCAGGAAGUCGAGGACGUGAAGGAAAAAGACAUUAAAGACUUUCUGUGUCAGAGAUAGUAGAAAAUGAUUGAUUACCUUUUAGAGGUAGGAUUCUUGCAUAACGGCUUUCUGGACAAUUCAUAUUCUUCUGGGUAAAAUACUCUGCUUUGGACUUUUUAAUUGUGGGGAUCAGAUUAUUUUGUAAGAGCAGUAAAGAAUAUUAAAUUGUAACCAGGAGGGAGAAACAUCUUAACACAACAAAUAGAUCUGAAAUUUGAUCUUUUAGGGUGUGAUUUCCCCUAUCCGGUCCUUAUCUGUGUGUUCAUAUUCUUUGUAUGUAAAUACAAUUAUGUUUAUAUUCCACA